RNAcentral lists this ribosomal RNA (493 nucleotides) under uncultured bacterium. RNAcentral's name for it is "bacterial SSU rRNA". It matches the Rfam family "Bacterial small subunit ribosomal RNA", at positions 28 to 513 of the family's 1533-position model. The record is from RNAcentral.
GAUGAACGCUAGCGGCAGGCUUAAUACAUGCAAGUCGUGGGGCAGCAGGUUUGUAGCAAUACAGACGCUGGCGACCGGCAAACGGGUGCGGAACACGUACAGAACCUUCCUUUGAGCGGGGAAUAGCCCAGAGAAAUUUGGAUUAAUACCCCAUAGUAUAAUGAAGUGGCAUCACUUUAUUAUUAAAGAUUUAUCACUCGAAGAUGGCUGUGCGGCUGAUUAGGUAGUUGGCGGGGUAAAGGCCCACCAAGCCUGCGAUCAGUAACUGGUGUGAGAGCACGACCAGUCACACGGGCACUGAGACACGGGCCCGACUCCUACGGGAGGCAGCAGUAAGGAAUAUUGGUCAAUGGAGGCAACUCUGAACCAGCCAUGCCGCGUGGAGGAUGAAGGUCCUCUGGAUUGUAAACUUCUUUUAUAUGGGACGAAAAAGGCUUUUCUAAGUCGUCUGACGGUACCAUAUGAAUAAGCACCGGCUAACUCCGUGCCAGCA